Molecule: ribosomal RNA, 497 nt
Filed under: uncultured bacterium
Lineage: Bacteria
Description: partial 16S ribosomal RNA
Rfam family: Bacterial small subunit ribosomal RNA
Source: RNAcentral
GAUGAACGCUGGCGGCGUGCCUAAUACAUGCAAGUCGAGCGAACAGACGAGGAGCUUGCUCCUCUGACGUUAGCGGCGGACGGGUGAGUAACACGUGGAUAACCUACCUAUAAGACUGGGAUAACUUCGGGAAACCGGAGCUAAUACCGGAUAAUAUAUUGAACCGCAUGGUUCAAUAGUGAAAGACGGUUUUGCUGUCACUUAUAGAUGGAUCCGCGCCGCAUUAGCUAGUUGGUAAGGUAACGGCUUACCAAGGCAACGAUGCGUAGCCGACCUGAGAGGGUGAUCGGCCACACUGGAACUGAGACACGGUCCAGACUCCGACGGGAGGCAGCAGUAGGGAAUCUUCCGCAAUGGGCGAAAGCCUGACGGAGCAACGCCGCGUGAGUGAUAAAGGUCUUCGGAUCGUAAAACUCUGUUAUUAGGGAAGAACAAAUGUGUAAGUAACUAUGCACGUCUUGACGGUACCUAAUCAGAAAGCCACGGCUAACUACGUG